RNAcentral lists this ribosomal RNA (497 nucleotides) under uncultured bacterium. Its description in RNAcentral is "partial 16S ribosomal RNA". It matches the Rfam family "Bacterial small subunit ribosomal RNA", at positions 28 to 507 of the family's 1533-position model. The record is from RNAcentral.
GAUGAACGCUGGCGGCGUGCCUAAUACAUGCAAGUCGAGCGAACAGACGAGGAGGUUGCUCCUCUGACGUUAGCGGCGGACGGGUGAGUAACACGUGGAUAACCUACCGAUAAGACUGGGGUAACUUCGUGAAACCGUAGCUAAUACCGGAUAAUAUAUUGAACCGCAUGGUUCAAUAGUGAAAGACGGUUUUGCUGUCACUUAUAGAUGGAUUCGCGCCGCAUUAGCUAGUUGGUAAGGUAAAGGCUUACCAAGGCAACGAUGCGUAGCCGACCUGAGAGGGUGAUCGGCCACACUGGAACUGAGACACGGUCCAGACUCCUACGGGAGGCAGCAGUAGGGAAUCUUCCGCAAAGGGCGAAAGCUUGACGGAGCAACGCCGCGUGAGUGAUGAAGGUCUUCGGAUCGUAAACCUCUGUUAUUCGGGAAGAAAAAAUGUGUAAGUAACUAUGCACGUCUUGACGGUACCUAAUCAGAAAGCAACGGCUAACUACGUG